ACUUGGGAAACAGGUGCUAAUACCGGAUAAGAAAGCAGAUCGCAUGAUCAGCUUUUUAAAGGCGGCGUAAAGCUGUCGCUAUGGGGAUGGCCCCGCGGUGCAUUAGCUAGUUGGUAAGGUAAAGGCUUACCAAGGGCGAUGAUGCAUAGCCCGAGUUGAGAGACUGAUCGGCCACAUUGGGGACUGAGACACGGCCCAAACUCCUACGGGAGGCAGCAGUAGGGAAUCUUCCACAAUGGACGCAAGUCUGAUGGAGCAAACGCCGCGUGAGUGAAGAAGGUUUUCGGAUCGUAAAGCUCUGUUGUUGGUGAAGAAGGAUAGAGGUAGUAACUGGCCCUUUAUUUGACGGUAAUCAACCAGAAAGUCACGGGCUAACUACGUGCCAGCAGCCGCGGUAAAAU
Molecule: ribosomal RNA, 401 nt
Filed under: uncultured Lactobacillus sp.
Lineage: Bacteria; Bacillati; Bacillota; Bacilli; Lactobacillales; Lactobacillaceae
Description: bacterial SSU rRNA
Rfam family: Bacterial small subunit ribosomal RNA
Source: RNAcentral